Molecule: unclassified non-coding RNA, 250 nt
Filed under: Rhizophagus sp. (in: glomeromycetes)
Lineage: Eukaryota; Fungi; Glomeromycota; Glomeromycetes; Glomerales; Glomeraceae
Description: partial contains 5.8S ribosomal RNA and internal transcribed spacer 2
Rfam family: 5.8S ribosomal RNA (bases 1-65)
Source: RNAcentral
GUGAAUCAUCAAAUUUUUGAACGCAAAUUGCACUCUCUUCUGAGAGUAUGCCUGUUUGAGGGUCAGUAUUAAUAAAAAUCGGUGUGUUGCUUCUUUGUGGCUCUCCGGAGUUUGGGUCAUCUUAAUAUCCUUUAGGUUUUAAGAGGAUUAACAUUGACUUUUUUUUCGCAUUUUAGAUGUACAUAAAUCCUUUUUUUUAUUCUUCUGUCUUAAUUCUCUACAUCCUAUUAAUUGCAUCCAUAUCGUUUGG